AAGACCUAAGAAUCACCAGUCAUUUUUUUUAAAUAAAGGAGAACCUAAAUGAAGCUAAGUUCUUCUUCUUCAUGGAGAUUGAAAAAAAAAACCUAGAACACAAAAAAGAACUUAGAGCCAGCCGUUUCUGACCAAAAAAAGAACCCCCCCCCCCCCCCCUUGAAGGUCUUCUUCUUUGAGACACCACCUUUCAGCCAUGACUUUUCUUCUUCAACCUUAGCACACCCAAAACCUAGCACCAGUCUGUCGCCGGCCUUAACUCCACCACCUCUCAACCGCAGUUCUCCAUCAUCACCUGAACCCAAAAACAUACCCCUAAACCCUUUUUCUUUAUCUUCGAUGAGAACAUCAUAACUCACUACCACACGAUCACCCUGACCCCUUCUUCUUCAACAGUCGAUCUCGCUGGAAAACGAGCAGCAACCAGCGACCAGUUUCUUCACCACCCUUCUUCACUACAUGAAGCUAAUGACAAAACACCCCUAAGCAGAGGCAGCAGAUACUAUAGUUGAACACCACUAGAAAAUAGCUAGAGUUUCUAAGUCGAGUUGAGAUCCGAGCUGAGUCCGCCGAGUUCGAUUGGGUCGUUCAUGGUUUAUUUUGCUUUUGGAUUGCGGGGCAGUAAAAUAGUUAAAGUUUCAGAUUCAAAACUUAAGGUUCAUUUCUUGCUUUAAUAUAAUUAAUUUUGGAUUAGUGUUUUGUGCAAUUUUUUAGCGAUGCACUACUGCUUGGAUUUAGUCUUCUGUGUAAAUUUUUAGUUGUUUGGAUGUUUUCUCUUUUCAUUUGGUCAUAUGUGUUUGGAGGUGUUAUUUUGAUUAUUGGGUCAGUUAUGAUUCGAAACCUAUUGUUGUAGCAGUGUGCUUUAGGAACUUCAAGUCACAAUGGGCCAGUAAUAUAUUUAUAUCACUUAACUUCAUCAUUUGAGUUUAGUUGUUCAUAUUUAAUGGUAUUUCCUUAUUACCCGUGGCUUCAAGUGUUUGGAUGCAUAUUGAAAUGAGCUUGAAUGAUUUGAAACUGGAGGAGAAAUUCAGUAGAGCACGCAAUUGGGUUUAAGAUAAUUAAAAAAGAAGAAGAUUAAGUUGGAUUAAGUGUGGACCUUGGGAUCUGACAUGAUACGGGAGCUAGCCAAAAUGGGUAGGCUUGGAUAUUUGUUCACGAUUUUUUUUCUAAUAGCUGAUUUAGUGGUUGUGGAUUAUUUUGAUAUCAAAGUUGAAAGAAGUAUUUAAUAUUUGGUUUGAUCAUUAUAUUCAAUGCAGUGACUAUGGGUACGGUUCUCGUGACAUGGUUACGAUACAUAAUUCCCAAAUUCGGGUGCACAUUUCAUGUGAUCCGACCACAACUUCAAACAUUAAUAAAAAUUAAACAUGUUUUAGAUCGUGGGUACGGUUUCCGUGACAUGAUUUGCAAUGUGUAUCAAACAAACAAGUGUACGACAAUCGUAACUUGUUCAAGAAAUAAUUCCAUAAAUCCUAAAAAGCGGUUUGAAAGUUAAAUAUGCACAUAGGUUUAAAUUGUGUAAUAAAUUAGAUAAUUAGGCCAAAUAUUAAUAGUUGAGAGACCGUGCUAAAACCACGGAACCCGAAAAUGCCUAACACCUUCUCCCGGGUUAACAGAAUUUCUUACCCGGAUUUCUCUGUUUCGCGGACUGUAAAACAGAGUCAAACUUCCUCGAUUCGGGAUUUUAAACCGGUGACCUGGGACCCCAUAAAUUAUCCCAAGUGGCGACUCUGUAUAAAUAUAAAUAAUCCCGUUUCGAUUGUCACUUUAAUUGAAAAAACUCUCCUAUACCGCUUCCGGUGGUAGAAAAAGGAGGUGUGACAGCUUUGACGACUCUGCUGGGAAUAAGAACUCAGAACUUCUGGUUCAGUGUUCAAGAAUUCGAGCUUAGAAUAAUUGUUAUAUUUAGCUUUAUUUAUUAUCUGAUUUUAUUUACAUGUUUGGGCCUAAUGUGCUAAAUGUUAUUUUUUAUCGCUUUGAUAUUAUGUGAACUGUAUAUAAACUGCUAUGAAACCCCUCUCUGCUAAUCUUCUGAGAAGUGCACGCUGGCGUGACGGCUUUUUGUUAGUGUCAUACCCUAAUUUAGAACGAGGUUCAAACAAGUUGCAAAGCCAGAUGAUCUUUUGGUUACGAGUACGCUGCCUCUUCUCAGCUCGAGCUGUCCGCUCGGGUAAGCCACGUCUAAACAAUACACCCAGGUUUUAAACCUAGAAUAACACAGCCUCAUGCCGGAUCCCUAGUAGGAAUGCUUGAUUGCAUCAUGUGCAUUUGAAUUUGGGGACUCAACACAUGGAUUGGGUCCGUCUAGGACAGGUGUACCCAAAAAAUAAAAGACCAUCCUGAUUCAUCAUAUGAGCUACAUGUUGCAAUUUUCAAGGGUAAAAGGGGUCAUUUGGCAGACCAAUGAGGGUUGAGGGUAAAUGAGAAAGAAAAUAGGGUGAAGUGUAAAAAAUAAAGCAAGUAGGGCCCAGUUAUAUUUUUCUUUCACAUUUAUUUUUAGAAAAAGACAAAAAAAAAUGAAAAAUCCAAAAAGAUUUUGCACUUUCCCAUCAUUUUCCAAAAAAAAUCAAAAAAAAGGGAAAAGAAAAUCCAAAAAGAGUUUACAUGUUUCAUCAUCUUUAAAAAAAAGACAAAAAAUAUUUUCUCUAAAUUAGUUAUUUUUUUAAUUCUCGCCAGUAUCCAAUCUGCCCGAACUAUGCAUACAUGAUUCUCUUCUUUCGGGGCAUGAUAUGUAGGCAACCCACAUAGGGUCUGGUCUUCCUAGUGAGUCUUAGGUUCUUGGCUUCACGGGGUCUUAGCCAAAUCUUGUAUUUUUAGCCACUUUUAGCCACAUAGGUUAAUUUUAGAAAAAUAGCCACAAUCAUGUCUUGCAUGUGUCCAACAGGAAGGGUUAUUGUCUCACAUAGCGUUCUAGGUCUUUAACUUUAUUUUGUCUUAAUUUUCUCAUACGGGUGCAGGUCUACUUACCGGAGUUUGAGCAUGACAGACAUCCCGAGACCAUCCAGCCAGGAUUGCUCAUUUAGGAGUUGCUUAAGGAGAUUUUUUUAAUUUUUUUAUGUUUUGAGUAUGUUCUUCAUUUUAUGUCAUCUUUUACUUUCUAGUUUUGUAAAGUAAUGUCGAGUCUUUUGUUAUUGUACUUUCUACUUUGUAUUUGAAAAAGUGUGUUGUAACUCAAAAAUAAAAAUAAAAAAGUGGUUU
This 3195-nucleotide long non-coding RNA is filed under the name Nicotiana tabacum (common tobacco). RNAcentral's name for it is "long non-coding RNA (NTAB_LNC008614)". Lineage: Eukaryota; Viridiplantae; Streptophyta; Magnoliopsida; Solanales; Solanaceae. The record is from RNAcentral.